GAUGAACGCUGGCGGCGUGCCUAAUACAUGCCAGUCGAGCGAACAGACGAGGAGCUUGCUCCUCUGACGUUAGCGGCGGACGGGUGAGUAACACGUGGAUAACCUACCUAUAAGACUGGGAUAACUUCGGGAAACCGGAGCUAAUACCGGAUAAUAUAUUGAACCGCAUGGUUCAAUAGUGAAAGACGGUUUUGCUGUCACUUAUAGAUGGAUCCGCGCCGCAUUAGCUAGUUGGUAAGGUAACGGCUUACCAAGGCAACGAUGCGUAGCCGACCUGAGAGGGUGAUCGGCCACACUGGAACUGAGAUACGGUCCAGACUCCUACGGGAGGCAGCAGUAGGGAAUCUUCCGCAAUGGGCGAAAGCCUGACGGAGCAACGCCGCGUGAGUGAUGAAGGUCUUCGGAUCGUAAAACUCUGUUAUUAGGGAAGAACAAAUGUGUAAGUAACUAUGCACGUCUUGACGGUACCUAAUCAGAAAGCCACGGCUAACUACGUG
Molecule: ribosomal RNA, 497 nt
Filed under: uncultured bacterium
Lineage: Bacteria
Description: partial 16S ribosomal RNA
Rfam family: Bacterial small subunit ribosomal RNA
Source: RNAcentral